RNAcentral lists this long non-coding RNA (232 nucleotides) under Volvox carteri. RNAcentral describes it as "long non-coding RNA (VCAR_LNC002377)". Lineage: Eukaryota; Viridiplantae; Chlorophyta; Chlorophyceae; Chlamydomonadales; Volvocaceae. The record is from RNAcentral.
UAUGCGCCCGGCUGUACACGGCGAUUGGCGGAACGUCCGUCGGGCAGCAAGAGCCGGUGUCCCUAGCCUCCUCCACUUGCCGUUGUCGACUACUCCCUAGCUAGGCUGGUGCCGUACCCGCCCAACGGUGGUUGCCGCGUACGACAGACCACAUGACGUGUCUCCUGUAAGAAUUACACUGGCACGAGGGGCAGCUCAACUCAACCCUCCAGAUUUAGAGCAGACCGGCGCG